RNAcentral lists this ribosomal RNA (301 nucleotides) under uncultured bacterium. Its description in RNAcentral is "partial 16S ribosomal RNA". It matches the Rfam family "Bacterial small subunit ribosomal RNA", at positions 509 to 807 of the family's 1533-position model. The record is from RNAcentral.
CAGUCGCCGCGGGAAUACGUAGGUGGCAAGCGUUGUCCGGAAUUAUUGGGCGUAAAGGGCUCGCAGGCGGUUUCUUAAGUCUGAUGUGAAAGCCCCCGGCUCAACCGGGGAGGGUCAUUGGAAACUGGGAAACUUGAGUGCAGAAGAGGAGAGUGGAAUUCCACGUGUAGCGGUGAAAUGCGUAUAGAUGUGGAGGAACACCAGUGGCGAAGGCGACUCUCUGGUCUGUAACUGACGCUGAGGAGCGAAAGCGUGGGGAGCGAACAGGGUUAGAUACCCCAGUAGUCCCUGUCUCUUAUAC